GACGAGACUGAAACAGCAGCCAAACAAGGAAAUGACCAAUUUGGCAAGAAACAGAAACCUACAGGUUUGAGAUGUUGUACAAACACAAAUGGAAUUUUAAAAAAAUCAAAAGAACUUUAUGACAAGAUGCAUAGCAAUCCAACUUUUGAAAACUAAAGACAAAGAAGCUACCUACAAAGAAAAACAGAAGGAUAACAAAUUAUCUACAGGGUGAAACUAAUUCAGAUGACAGUGGAGUGCUCAUCAGAAAACGUGGAGACAGAAUUAAGUGGCACAAAGUUUCAAGAACCCAGGAAACAAGGGUCAAGCCACGCUCCUCCACAGCAACAAGCACCUUGAACAAUUGAACGGAAAUCAGAAGUUGUCACAUUGAGGAAACCCAAGGGAACCUGUCACCCACCCUUCUACCAUAAAAGAAUGGCUCCUAGGAGCUCUCUAAACAGAAAGGAAAUAAUAGAAGGCAAUCUGAGACGUCAGAAAGAAAGGAGGAAAAUAAUCAACACCACAUUUCCUUCUCUUGAGUUCCCUGAAUUAUGUUUGAUGGUUUAAGAAAAAUUCAUACACUGUUUGGCAUGGUUCUACAUUUAUGUCAAGGAAGUGUUUAAAAUAAUGAGAUUUUAAACAGGGAGGGUAAAGACAUAUAAAAGGCAUGUAAGUUUUCUGUAGCUCACUUGAACUGGUAAAAUAAUGACACUGAUGUACUGUGUCUCUAUAUAGACAGAAACCUAAACCGCUAUAUAAACCAAUCUUAUCAAAAACACUAUGGAUACAGCAAUGUGUAAUUCUAAAAUAUAUUGCAGCCCCCACAGAGAGGCAAGGAAAAGAAAAUGGUCCCAGAAAACAAAUGAAACAUUACAAACAGAAAGUGAACAACAAAAUGGUAGACAUAAGCCGGCUCAUUUCAUAAAGUAUGUUAAAUGUAAAUGGUUCAAAGACUGAUUAGAAGAGUGGAUGAAGAGAUAUGAAGCAAGUAUAUUCUGCUUACAAAGAAACUAAUGACAAAUAUAAUGAUAUAGGCAGGUAGGAAAGAAUGGAUGGACAGAGAUGUACCAUGCCUGCAGACAUUAAGCAAAGGAAAGCAGCACUGGAUGUAUUAAGAUCAGAUAGAGUGACCCACAGGGACAUUACACAAUGAUAAAAGGGUCAAUCCAACAAAAACCCCAACAGAGGGACUGGGCUGAUGGCUCAGCAGUAGAGUGCUUACCUAGCAUGUGUGAGGCACCUGGUUCAAUUUUCAGCACCACGUAUAAAUAAAUAAAAAUGAAAGUCCAUUAACAACUAAAAGAGUAUUUUUAAAAAUAACAGAAGGUAUACGUGCAUAUGCAACAAAAAUGGAUGGAAAU
RNAcentral lists this long non-coding RNA (1343 nucleotides) under Marmota monax (woodchuck). The record is from RNAcentral. Lineage: Eukaryota; Metazoa; Chordata; Mammalia; Rodentia; Sciuridae.